GGAGGUGAGGGCCAUCUGGUUGUGACAUUUGUCACCCCAUUGAGUGCCAGGGUUGUUUUGGUUGAUCUGGCUGGCUAGGUGGUCAAACUUCCUCUGUCCCAAAGCUAUGUGCUCAGGUAGAAGAGGCAGCCUUAUCUGAGGAGGAAGACUCUUCAGUGGAGGGUUCAGUAGCUGUACUCUCCUGCUAGAACCUCCAAACAAGUUCUCAUGAAAGAGAACGCAUGUAACACAAGACCUACUGAAGAGCAGAGACUCCCAGGUUUGAUCUGUACAGUGUACACCACAGCCUCU
Non-coding RNA from Rattus norvegicus (Norway rat), 291 nucleotides. NCBI's taxonomy places the organism in Eukaryota, Metazoa, Chordata, Mammalia, Rodentia, Muridae. The record is from Rfam.